ACAGUUGCCUAACAAAACCCUUUGUUUUCCUUUUGCUUCUUUGCACAUUCUUGAUUUCUCAUCAUUCAAAAUUUUACAGAGAGAGCAAACAUGUCUGGCGAAAUCGCACGUAGUCGUCUUGCUGAGGAACACAAAUCAUGGCUUAAGAAUCACCCUGAUGGUUUUGUGGCUGAGCCGGAAACCGGUUCAGAUGGGUCUGUCAAUUUGAUGGUGUGGCAUUGUACUAUCCCUGGAAAACCCGCGACUGACUGGGAAGGUGGCUUCUAUCCAAUAACAAUGCACUUUAGCGAAGACUAUCCUAGCAACCCACCCAUGUGCAAGUUUCCUCAAGGUUUCUUUCAUCCUAAUGUCUAUCCAUCAGGAGAAGUAUGUAUGUCGAUCCUCGAUGAGGACAGGGAGUAGACACCUGACCUUAGCAUUCAAGAAAUUUUGGUGGAUAUCCAACAUUUGCUUGACUGGCCAAACUCUAAAGAUCCAACACAAAUUUGUUAUCAGCUAUACAUCGAUGAUCAGAAUGAGUACAAGAGACAAGUGAGAAACAGACCCUGAAUUAUGCAGCUAGUCCUCAAUCUUAAAAGGUCACUAAACUUUGUAUCUGCUCUCUUGCUCUCGUAUUUGUUAAGAAAUGAAUCUUUUCUGUUAAAGGCCGCAACCGUGAUUUCACCAAAGUUGCAUUAGCAGUUUUCUUGUAAAUUUUGGAACAAUUGGUAGCACUUGAUGAAAAUGUCUUCCUAAGACCUUGACUUCCACUAAAAGGUUCUUUGGCAUCCAUUAAAUCUCGAAAGCUCUUAUCAUU
Molecule: RNA transcript, 796 nt
Organism: Lycium barbarum (goji berry)
Lineage: Eukaryota; Viridiplantae; Streptophyta; Magnoliopsida; Solanales; Solanaceae
Gene name: SUMO-conjugating enzyme SCE1-like
Exons: 5
Source: RefSeq, a predicted model, not a curated record